AAAAAUUAACAAAUAUAACAAAUAAAAUCGUGGCUCCAAAACAAUAUUAAAUCUUCUUUUUUGUAGUUUUUCCUUGAAUCUUUUUUUGUGAAGCAGUUGAAUCAUCCUUACUUGACCUGCAAUUUCAACAUAGUCGAAUUAAUAUUUAAUGUGUCUUUUUCUAUACAAUUAAUGAAUGGAAGAAAAACAGAAAACAAAUAUCAAUAGCAUAUGUUUCAAAUGUGUCUGUCAAAUUAGCAAAUCCCAAAAAACAAUAACAAGUUGAAGCAUUAAUCCACCAACUUUAGCAUAUAUUCAUUAUGUGUCUCUUAACCAAAUCCAAACUUGUAUUUAGCUAUGUCAAACCAGCAAACAAAAAUAAUGUAGGAGUGCACAAACAAACACCAAGUUUUUAGAUUCAUUACAUAGCAGUAGUGUAUAUGAUGCAGCAUCCACAAAUGCUUACUACAUUAUACUUCCAAAAUAAGCCAUUGAUUCUUAGGAAAAAAGUACAUGAUACCACAACGAUUCAACUUUGAUAAUCCAACAAAUUUACUUAACAUUACACAGACUUGAAUUUACUAUUAUUCAGUAUAAGCUUCAACACUAACUAUCCAACAUAGAUGUGUUCAAUUCAUAACAUAAACAAGCCCAUUCAUGCAAUCAAACAUUUUACCAAAAUUGAUCAAAGGAAAAACGUAGCUUGUAAUAGAUUCAAGAAAUCAAACUAUAUUUCGGAGGCAGAAAAAUACUUACCUGGGGAAGAAAUUUGAAUUCUGAAUAUGAAAGAAAUUCGAAUGGGAACUAUGAAUCUGCAAGAAAUUGAAAGAGAUUUGAAGGCUAUUUAUCUGAAUCUGCAAAAAUACUUGAGCGUUGCUUGGUCUCUCUCAUUACCUCCAUAUUGUGCAGAGUUUCUUGCUUUCAGUGAAGAAAC
This 913-nucleotide long non-coding RNA is filed under the name Medicago truncatula (barrel medic). Its description in RNAcentral is "long non-coding RNA (MTRU_LNC005012)". Lineage: Eukaryota; Viridiplantae; Streptophyta; Magnoliopsida; Fabales; Fabaceae. The record is from RNAcentral.